UGGGGAAUAUUGGACAAUGGGCGAAAGCCUGAUCCAGCCAUGCCGCGUGUGUGAAGAAGGCCUUUUGGUUGUAAAGCACUUUAAGCGAGGAGGAGGCUACUUGGAUUAAUACUCUAGGAUAGUGGACGUUACUCGCAGAAUAAGCACCGGCUAACUCUGUGCCAGCAGCCGCGGUAAUACAGAGGGUGCGAGCGUUAAUCGGAUUUACUGGGCGUAAAGCGUGCGUAGGCGGCUUCUUAAGUCGGAUGUGAAAUCCCUGAGCUUAACUUAGGAAUUGCAUUCGAUACUGGGAAGCUAGAGUAUGGGAGAGGAUGGUAGAAUUCCAGGUGUAGCGGUGAAAUGCGUAGAGAUCUGGAGGAAUACCGAUGGCGAAGGCAGCCAUCCGGCCUAAUACUGACGCUGAGGUACGAAAGCAUGGGGAGCAAACAGG
This 430-nucleotide ribosomal RNA is filed under the name Acidobacteriota bacterium. RNAcentral's name for it is "Acidobacteria bacterium partial 16S ribosomal RNA". It matches the Rfam family "Bacterial small subunit ribosomal RNA", at positions 355 to 776 of the family's 1533-position model. Lineage: Bacteria; Pseudomonadati; Acidobacteriota. The record is from RNAcentral.